RNAcentral lists this ribosomal RNA (610 nucleotides) under Halobacillus sp. NH88-35. Its description in RNAcentral is "bacterial SSU rRNA". It matches the Rfam family "Bacterial small subunit ribosomal RNA", at positions 208 to 807 of the family's 1533-position model. Lineage: Bacteria; Bacillati; Bacillota; Bacilli; Caryophanales; Bacillaceae. The record is from RNAcentral.
UUCUUGCUAUCACUUACAGAUGGGCCCGCGGCGCAUUAGCUAGUUGGUGAGGUAACGGCUCACCAAGGCGACGAUGCGUAGCCGACCUGAGAGGGUGAUCGGCCACACUGGGACUGAGACACGGCCCAGACUCCUACGGGAGGCAGCAGUAGGGAAUCUUCCGCAAUGGACGAAAGUCUGACGGAGCAACGCCGCGUGAACGAUGAAGGUCUUCGGAUCGUAAAGUUCUGUUGUUAGGGAAGAACAAGUACCGUGCGAAUAGAGCGGUACCUUGACGGUACCUAACGAGGAAGCCCCGGCUAACUACGUGCCAGCAGCCGCGGUAAUACGUAGGGGGCAAGCGUUGUCCGGAAUUAUUGGGCGUAAAGCGCGCGCAGGCGGUUCCUUAAGUCUGAUGUGAAAGCCCACGGCUCAACCGUGGAGGGUCAUUGGAAACUGGGGAACUUGAGGACAGAAGAGGAGAGUGGAAUUCCACGUGUAGCGGUGAAAUGCGUAGAUAUGUGGAGGAACACCAGUGGCGAAGGCGACUCUCUGGUCUGUUUCUGACGCUGAGGUGCGAAAGCGUGGGUAGCAAACAGGAUUAGAUACCCUGGUAGUCCACGCCGUAAAC